AUGGACUUGGGUGACCACUUCGAACGUUCCGGGCCGACGCAUUUGAUGGCAAGAACGAUUGACUGGGACAAGGAGGAGCACCGCCGCUGCGUCGCCGCUAGCCUUGUCAACAGCACGUACGUCAUGGAGAAGGACCGACGCCGAUGGAGCAGGGCGCAACUCGCGCCGGCAUGGUGGACGAGCUUUCACUUUCACUUGGAGCACACGCGCCUACUUGAGGACGAACAUUCCAUCUUUGGUGCUAUUUACAGGCACGUGCCGCCGCCGCCGGGGCAGCAUCAUCCCUCCGCUCCACACUACAUCGUCGCCUUCAGGGGCACCAUGCUGCGGCACAUGGUGGAUGACAUGCACCUUAACGUACAGAUCAUGACCAACACCGUGCAUGACUCCAUCCGCUCGCAGCGCGCUCACGCGGCGGUCCGCAACCUCCUCGCGGCCGUCGACAGCCGAUACAUCGUCUGGCUCGCAGGCCACUCUCAGGGUGCGUCGCUGGCGCUGGAGGUUGGGCGGGACCUAAUGCGAAACGGCCGGCGCAACCUCCCGACCUUUCUCUUCAAUCCGCCGCAUGUAUCGUUGGCGCCAGUCAUCAACUUGACGCAUUCGGCGGCGGACGACAAGAGGGAGCUGUACGUCUUGAGCAACCUCGUCAAGGCUGAGCUCGGGAAGGUCCUCCCUCCCCACCGGAAGCGCAUGGAGCAGCUGUUCGAGCAGCUGUCCUCGUGGGCACCCAAGCUGUACGUGCACGAGAAGGACUUCAUCUGCCAGGGCUUCAUCGACUACUUCGAGCAGAGGGAGCAGCUGGAGAGGCGCUUCCGCGGCGCUGCCAGGUUUGCAACGGUACUCUCCUACCGUGACAUGCUCAUUCACCUGCUCGGCGUGGACAAGGAGCCGAGACCGCACCUCCUGCCAUCAGCAACGUUGUGGAAGAACUCGACCGGUUGCCGCCUUCGAUCGCACCGUCUCAAGCUAUGGUGGAAACCGGACAGUGAACUUAGGUUGACCCAAAGGCGUCACACAUAUUAA
RNAcentral lists this ribosomal RNA (1023 nucleotides) under Triticum aestivum (bread wheat). RNAcentral's name for it is "partial small subunit ribosomal RNA". Lineage: Eukaryota; Viridiplantae; Streptophyta; Magnoliopsida; Poales; Poaceae. The record is from RNAcentral.